GAUGAACGCUGGCGGCGUGCCUAAUACAUGCAAGUCGAGCGAACAGAUAAGGAGCUUGCUCCUUUGCAGUUAGCGGCGGACGGGUGAGUAACACGUGGGUAACCUACCUAUAAGACUGGGAUAACUUCGGGAAACCGGAGCUAAUACCGGAUAACAUUUAGAACCGCAUGGUUCUAAAGUGAAAGAUGGUUUUGCUAUCACUUAUAGAUGGACCCGCGCCGUAUUAGCUAGUUGGUAAGGUAACGGCUUACCAAGGCGACGAUCCGUAGCCGACCUGAGAGGGUGAUCGGCCACACUGGAACUGAGACACGGUCCAGACUCCUACGGGAGGCAGCAGUAGGGAAUCUUCCGCAAUGGGCGAAAGCCUGACGGAGCAACGCCGCGUGAGUGAUGAAGGGUUUCGGCUCGUAAAACUCUGUUAUUAGGGAAGAACAAAUGUGUAAGUAACUGUGCACGUCUUGACGGUACCUAAUCAGAAAGCCACGGCUAACUACGUG
Molecule: ribosomal RNA, 497 nt
Filed under: uncultured bacterium
Lineage: Bacteria
Description: partial 16S ribosomal RNA
Rfam family: Bacterial small subunit ribosomal RNA
Source: RNAcentral